GCCCCGUCCGUGACCCCCGCUCGCCCCCCACGUUUCCCAGAUGACGGCAGCUGGAAAGCCUGCCUCCGACAGCGGCCCCAGGCCACGGAGAGGCGACCCUGCAGAGAGCGGAUGUUUGUGAAGCUCCUCCUGGAGGGAAAGCUGCCGCCAGUGCAGAACACUCCCCUCUCGAGGCACAGACGGGGGAGCGGUCACGAGCCGGUCAGUCCCUCUUAGAGCCAAAAUCAGGGGCUCAGAACAUUUUCUAAUGAUUUCUGAGCCACCGAGUGCAUCUGCCCAGUCUCUGUUUUCAUUCCCUGAGAUGUGGUACUUUCUCUCCUGGAGUCCCGUAUUGGGGGUGCUUCAACCGCAGACCUUGCCUCCCUCCCAGGGUGCUGAGGAAGGACAGGCCCUGCCUUCCCCAGGAGAGCUCAGGCUGGAGAAGCCCCGGUGUAGGGGGAAGUUCUAAGCAGGCAUUGUCACCCCCAGGUCUAGUGUCUCCACAGUGCCUCCCCCAUGUGCAGCCGCUGGGAUGUGUCCAGGGCAGGACAGGAGGCAGGUGCCCAGGUGCUCCCCUAGGCAGAAGGCUCGGGUUCUGUUUUAGGGCAGGUGGGCUGGUGUGGCCCCCGGGAGCACAGAGUCCUCACUGUGGCCCCCCAAAUCCCCACAGACGCCGACCAGUCUCACCCAGGAGGGCAGGCCCUGCUGUACUGCAGGCCCCCUGGGGCGCUGGUUCCCCCAUCUGACCACACGUGCCUUCCUUGGGAUCAGCGCACCCCCAGGAAAUCCUGGGUGCCUUCAUGUCUUGGUCACUUGGUGGUCUGGGACCCUCGGGCUCCUCAUCCGUCCACAGAGCUGGCCAGGCUGUCUGUGGGGAAGUGUUGACUGGGGGCCCCAAAGCUUCUGCUAAGAAAUCCUUCUGAGUACAGCCUCUGGCCCUGGAGAACUGGAACUCCCUGCCCUGCCACUGACUUACAAAGUUGUCCCCUCCCUAUGCACUUCCAGGCACAAAAGACAGGAUCUGAUUACUGAGGAAUUUCGAUGUGCAGGGGUGGAACUCUGCCACGAGUCCAGAAACUCCAAACACAUGAACCUGGUAACUCACUGUGCAAACAGAGAAGCAUUCCUGCACAGGGUCCCUGGCGUUUGCUCUCAGCGGUCCUCGGUCAGUCCACUCUCUGUCCCUCCCACUAGCCAGCCCCUCUAUGCCAAGGGACAGCUCCCUCGUCUCCAUGGCAGGCUGGUCUUGGGGCGCAAUGGUGACAUCUCCAACUACCUUUCUCUGCUCUUCACUGCUGAUCCUGCUCCCAGGGCCACCCCCAUCGGGCCAGGAGGCUACGAGGUGGUGACGGGUAGAUGCUCCAGCUGAGACCUGCCCGGCCUCUCCCCAUCUGCACGUCUCUUAGGAGAGGACCCACAUCCAGUCCCCACACAUCCACCUGCUGUGGGCGUUCUGGCCGGCGGGCCUAUGACCCAAAUCUACCUCGGGCCCAGGGCUCACUCAGGGGGCUGGGGGCCUGGAGUGGCCAGAGCCGACCCCGCUGAGUUCUGCGGAGACCGACGAUACUCAGGGCCCAGCAGGGGUGGAAGGAUGGGCUCUAACAGGUGUGGCCCCAGGACCACAAGCCGCACCUGCUGUGUCUGAGCCCAAACAGGGCCUCCUUCCCCUCAGGUGAGGUUCUGCAGGGAGCUGGGCGGGGCGCGGAGGCGCUGGGAGCAGGUCAGCAGCUGAGGAGUGGCUCCGGGAGGGGCUACAGAGGCCCAGGGCCUGCUCUCAGGGGUCGCUGGGGACACGAGAGACUCCGACAGGGGCCGACCAGUGUGCACUUCUCUCUUGUGCUGGGGCCCCUCUCUUCAUUCCCUGCUGGACAUGUCCAUGCUGUGCUUGGCGGAGCUGCGUUUCUCCUGCUCUCCCAGUACAGAGCUCCCGGGAAGGGCUCUCCUGCCCUCUCGUGGCGGCCUCAGGGCAGUGGCCUGUGGGGGCCGCCAGCUCCUCCGCUGUGAGCUGCUGGUCACGGAAGAGACUGUGCCGUGCAGGGGACGGGGCCACUUCCUGAUACUCAGGGACAGACCUUCUUCUCUUGAGGAAAGACUCAUAAGACCUCCUCCAGGUCUUUCCUGAUUAGGAAUUUAAUCCAGGGGUCAA
Non-coding RNA from Chlorocebus sabaeus (green monkey), 2125 nucleotides. Lineage: Eukaryota; Metazoa; Chordata; Mammalia; Primates; Cercopithecidae. The record is from RefSeq and is a predicted model, not a curated record.